Molecule: long non-coding RNA, 213 nt
Organism: Helianthus annuus (common sunflower)
Lineage: Eukaryota; Viridiplantae; Streptophyta; Magnoliopsida; Asterales; Asteraceae
Exons: 3
Source: RefSeq, a predicted model, not a curated record
AAGAAGCACAAAAAGUAAUAUCCAGUGUUUUGGUACAAUUGGCAUCAGAAGGUACAGUGCAACCAGAUGAUGGAGGAGUCACAGACACCCUUAUUGCAAAAAUUCAAACAGUGGAACCGGGUGUAUAUGCUUACCAAACAACUGCCAAUGAAACUGGUGAAAAUGAAACUGUUGUCGAAGAGACAGUGAACUUGGCAGAAUCUACACAAAAAG